This 82-nucleotide transfer RNA is filed under the name Schistocephalus solidus. It matches the Rfam family "tRNA". Rfam says of the family: Transfer RNA (tRNA) molecules are approximately 80 nucleotides in length. Their secondary structure includes four short double-helical elements and three loops (D, anti-codon, and T loops). The record is from Rfam by way of RNAcentral. Lineage: Eukaryota; Metazoa; Platyhelminthes; Cestoda; Diphyllobothriidea; Diphyllobothriidae.
GGCCUCGUAGUUGAGUUGGCUAGAAAGUUAACUGUAUGAAGCCUUUGCCUCGCCGGCAUGGGUUCGAAUCCCACCGAGGCCG